AGUGAACGCUGGCGGUAGGCCUAACACAUGCAAGUCGAACGGCAGCACAGUAAGAGCUUGCUCUUACGGGUGGCGAGUGGCGGACGGGUGAGGAAUACAUCGGAAUCUACUUUUUCGUGGGGGAUAACGUAGGGAAACUUACGCUAAUACCGCAUACGACCUACGGGUGAAAGCAGGGGAUCUUCGGACCUUGCGCGAUUGAAUGAGCCGAUGUCGGAUUAGCUAGUUGGCGGGGUAAAGGCCCACCAAGGCGACGAUCCGUAGCUGGUCUGAGAGGAUGACCAGCCACACUGGAACUGAGACACGGUCCAGACUCCUACGGGAGGCAGCAGUGGGGAAUAUUGGACAAUGGGCGCAAGCCUGAUCCAGCCGUACCGCGUGGGUGAAGAAGGCCUUCGGGUUGUAAAGCCCUUUUGUUGGGAAAGAAAAGCAGCAGGUUAAUACCCCGCUGUUCUGACGGUACCCAAAGAAUAAGCACCGGCUAACUUCGUG
RNAcentral lists this ribosomal RNA (492 nucleotides) under uncultured bacterium. Its description in RNAcentral is "partial 16S ribosomal RNA". It matches the Rfam family "Bacterial small subunit ribosomal RNA", at positions 29 to 507 of the family's 1533-position model. The record is from RNAcentral.